UACGGAGGGUGCAAGCGUUGUUCGGAAUUAUUGGGCGUAAAGCGCGUGUAGGCGGUGUGGUAAGUCUGUUGUGAAAGCCCUGGGCUCAACCCAGGAAGUGCACUGGAUACUGGCAGACUUGAAUACGGGAGAGGGCAGUGGAACUGCGAGUGUAGAGGUGAAAUUCGUAGAUAUUCGCAAGAACACCAGUGGCGAAGGCGGCUCACUGGCCCGAUACUGACGCUGAGGUGCGAAAGCGUGGGGAGCAAACAGG
Molecule: ribosomal RNA, 253 nt
Filed under: uncultured bacterium
Lineage: Bacteria
Description: partial 16S ribosomal RNA
Rfam family: Bacterial small subunit ribosomal RNA
Source: RNAcentral